AUGGCCACACCUCAUUGAAACACUGAUUCCCAUACAAUCACUGAGGUUAAGAAACAUCGAGCUUGGUCAGUACCUAAAUGGGUGACUGCAUGGGAACACUAGAUGCUGUUA
Acanthosepion pharaonis is the source of this 111-nucleotide non-coding RNA. NCBI's taxonomy places the organism in Eukaryota, Metazoa, Mollusca, Cephalopoda, Sepiida, Sepiidae. The record is from the annotation of a GenBank genome assembly.